GGGGAAGCGACGGAGUUAGAGAGCCGUACCAGACUGUAAAUCUGGCGUCAUUCGACUGAGUGGGUGCGAAUCCAACCUUCCCCACCA
This 87-nucleotide transfer RNA is filed under the name Minisyncoccota bacterium. Its description in RNAcentral is "tRNA-Tyr". It matches the Rfam family "tRNA". From Rfam's summary of the family: Transfer RNA (tRNA) molecules are approximately 80 nucleotides in length. Their secondary structure includes four short double-helical elements and three loops (D, anti-codon, and T loops). Further hydrogen bonds mediate the characteristic L-shaped molecular structure. tRNAs have two regions of fundamental functional importance: the anti-codon, which is responsible for specific mRNA codon recognition, and the 3' end, to which the tRNAs corresponding amino acid is attached (by aminoacyl-tRNA synthetases). tRNAs cope with the degeneracy of the genetic code in two manners: having more than one tRNA (with a specific anti-codon) for a particular amino acid; and 'wobble' base-pairing, i.e. permitting non-standard base-pairing at the 3rd anti-codon position. The record is from RNAcentral. Lineage: Bacteria; Bacillati; Minisyncoccota.